UAAAACAAACCAAAGACUGAAUUUUCCACCGCCGAAAAAGUUGACCCUUUUACAUGAAGAAAAAAAAGUUAUCAUUUCUUCCAAUUUUCUUCGAUCUCCAUAGUUAAGGUAUAGCCUCCUCAUAUUACUUUGCUUGACAACAAAUCCUUCUUAGAUCUCCCAAUUUCCCCUAAAUGAUCCACAAUCUCAACAGCUACUGAGUCAAACUCGGACGACUCUAACAUGGCGGAGAAGAAGCCGGACUCCGUUGUAUGUAUCCGAGUUCCCUACAAGAACCUCAAGCAAACCGCUGAGGUUGAGUUGGUAGGCUUCGAUGAUAACUCUCCGUCAAAAUCUUGGGUUUCUAAUGGCGUCGGCGAUGAUGAUUCGCCCGAUAAUUGCCGACAUUCGCAAAGUUUGAGAUCCGAGAAUUGUAAUUUGAUAACAUUGAUACUCAGUUGCGCCGUUGCUGCUGGUGUUCAAUUUGGUUGGGCAUUACAGCUUUCUCUUCUAACACCUUACGUUCAGACACUUGGAAUAGGACAUGCUUUUUCUUCAUUUAUAUGGUUAUGUGGUCCUAUCACAGGUCUUGUGGUUCAACCAUGUGUAGGUAUUUGGAGCGACAAAUGCACUUCUAAAUAUGGAAGAAGGCGACCCUUCAUUCUUGCUGGUGCCCUCAUGAUUUCUGUUGCGGUCAUAAUAAUAGGCUUUUCUGCAGACAUUGGAUAUUUGUUAGGAGACACCAAAGAGCACUGCAGCACUUUCAAAGGUACUCGAACCAGAGCAACUUUUGUAUUUGUUGUUGGUUUUUGGAUGUUGGAUCUUGCUAAUAACACAGUUCAGGGCCCUGCUCGCGCUCUUUUAGCUGAUUUAUCAGGACCUGAUCAGCGGAAUGCUGCAAAUGCUGUGUUUGCCUCCUGGAUGGCUGUCGGCAACAUCUUGGGUUUCUUAUGCGGUGCUAGUGGAAAUUGGCAUCAGUGGUUUCCUUUCUUAACAAACCGAGCUUGUUGUGAAGCAUGUGGAAAUUUGAAAGCUGCGUUUCUGGUUGCGGUGGUUUUCUUGACGCUUUGUACACUUGUAACUCUCUACUUUGCCAAGGAGGUUCCGCUGGAGGCAUGCCCAUCUCAGAGGCUAUCAGAUUCUGCUCCUUUACUGAAUGAUCGUCAAAAUAUGUCAAUGGACACACCAAAGGUGAAGGCCCAUGAUAGUACUUCUUUGUCUUACGAUGAAGAUGAUAAGAGGAAUGAAAUUCAUCAUGAUGGUGGUUCUAAUGAGGGACCUGGAGAUGUUAUGGUCAAGUUGUUGACCAGCAUAAGGCAUUUACCACCAGCAAUGCAUUCGGUGCUCCUUGUAACGGCUCUCACUUGGGUAUCAUGGUUUCCCUUUCUUCUUUUCGACACAGAUUGGAUGGGAAGAGAAGUGUAUCAUGGAAACCCUACUGGGAGUGCUUCUGAAGCAAAUGACUACAAUCAAGGUGUCAGAGAAGGUGCUGUCGGUUUGCUACUCAAUUCAGUUGUCCUUGGUGUUGGCUCCUUCCUAAUUGAACCCAUGUGCCGGCAAAUGGGGACGAAAGUGGUGUGGGCUUUGAGCAAUUUUAUUGUGUUUAUCUGCAUGGCAAGCAUUGCUGUUAUAAGUUUAGUUUCUCUCAGAAGCUACUCUCAAGGUGUCCAACAUGUGAUUGGAGAAAAUUCAUCGACCAAGAUUGCAGCCCUGGUCAUCUUUGCUAUUCUUGGGUUUCCUCUUUCUAUAACAUAUAGUGUUCCUUAUUCCGUCACUGCCACAGUGACUGCUGAUUCAGGAGGUGGUCAAGGAUUGGCACUAGGAGUUCUCAAUCUUGCAAUUGUUAUCCCUCAGAUGAUUGUAUCGCUAGGAGCUGGGCCUUGGGAUGCUCUGUUUGGCGGAGGAAACAUUCCUGCUUUCGUGUUAGCUUCUGUUGCCGCAUUAGCAGCUGCUAUAAUAGCAACAUAUAAGAUGCCAAAUAUAUCUUCCAGCUUCAGGUCAUCUGGCAUGCAUGUAGGCUGAUCGAGUUCCCAUACAAUGGCACCUUACAAAUGUAACUUUACGCUGCCACUAGUCCAACAAGGGAACUAUUACGAGCGCAUUUUUCACAUUCUAUACAAAAGCCGGUUGCAUAAAGGGGAAUGCCUGCAGUGAUAGUAAAGAGGAGGAAGGUUGAUGCUUCGAUGUUCUAUAGGUCUUGAAUUUUGGUCUUAUUGAGGCGAGAUUGGACUGUGUAGUAUGAACUAGUUAUGACAAUGGUUAGAUCUAAAUUGGAUUUGGUCGAAGAUGAUAAAGGGCGUGGCGGAAAUUUUAGAUUGUUUAAUGAUCAAUUUUCUUUUGUUUUGUUUGUUGAAAUUUUAUCAGGGAAACCCACAUUUUAACUAAGUUUGGGAGAUUUGCCUUAUUUUAGGAAUGCAAAGUUAAGUUCCUAGAGUUAUAAAGAAAGUCUGUUGAAGUUAAUUGCCCCCUAAAUUACUAGUAAAUGACCUAAUUUAGACUAAUUUAGUUAUGAUUAGUCAGUUUACGUACCAUUUCACACGUCAGCUCUAUGCUUCCAAUUAUGGUGAAGUAAUGUUAAUAGCUAUAUGACAAUAUUUAUGGUUUUAUUCAUAAAUGGCAAAGACUUGGACAAUAGAAAACAAUUUAUAGCAUUUUACUAUUGAUGGGUUUUAAUCAACCUAGUGUUGGUCUCAUAAAUGAAGUUGCUAUUGAGAGGUUUGGUAUAACAUAAGACUCACAUGCCAGCUUGAAACCAAAACCCCAAGCCUCAAGCCUUGAAGCCUAAUCUUGACACAAGCUCAACCUAACUUUAUUCCGACCUGAGCUCAACGUGAUACAGGAGAAAUGGGUCUUGAACAAGCCACAUAGACCAAAAUCAUGAUUUGUGCAUUGAGUCCAUGGUUCAAUGUACUUGGUUUUGUCAAAGAUGGGAUUGAUCAGUGUGAGGACAGAUUGGACUUGCUUGGAAAUCUAGUACAAAUAGUGAUUAUGGGCCCAGGACGCAUAAGAAUUGGCUUGGAUGAUCAAUCUAUCGCGGAGAAAUAUAACAUCUUAGAAACUAUAUCAUAGAAGUAUCCUAUAUUGGUCUUAUUUUUUAGAGAACCAUUAUUACAACUUAUAAGUAAGCAGUAAGCAGUAAGCAGUAAGCUCCAUCUUCUAUCAAAUUCAAAAGUGCCAUAAAAAGAUCUACAAGAUGUAGAAAGUUCACAGUCAAUUUGGAAGCCUAGUAGACUAAAAAGAAAUCAUGUCCUCAAACACAUCCCAAGUGAUCCCAAUUACUUUCUAUGUUCUUUUUGGUUCUUUUCAUUUAUUUUUUGCUCAAUUUUUUAAAACAAUUUCGAAUUUCAAUAUCUCUAAAUAUGCAUCAUAAAGAAUUAUAAAUUUUUUUUUUCUGUAUUGCUUGCAUGUUUAUCACUCCUAUCUUGGAUUAGCAUUCUUGUAAUCGAUAUUCAACAAAAACGUUCUAUCACAAAUUUUGUUCUGGUAAUGUCUUGAAAUUUGUUACAACCAAGGAUUUACUUUGAAGAAACCAAGUUAUCCUGUCAAUGAUAAUUUCUUUCAAGAAAUCAAGUUAUUGCAAGGUUUUCAGGAAAUUAAGUUAUCCCACGUGUAA
This is an RNA transcript of Amaranthus tricolor (Joseph's coat), 3592 nucleotides long. It is a transcript of the gene named sucrose transport protein SUC3, with no coding region annotated. Lineage: Eukaryota; Viridiplantae; Streptophyta; Magnoliopsida; Caryophyllales; Amaranthaceae. The record is from RefSeq and is a predicted model, not a curated record. The transcript has 16 exons.